Long non-coding RNA from Fukomys damarensis (Damara mole-rat), 351 nucleotides. RefSeq lists it as uncharacterized. Lineage: Eukaryota; Metazoa; Chordata; Mammalia; Rodentia; Bathyergidae. The transcript has 3 exons. The record is from RefSeq and is a predicted model, not a curated record.
CGAAAACUAGGGGGCUCUGAGCUCCGUGUGUCUCCAAGUCUCAGAAAGGUGUGGGAUGUCUGCUUUCCAGAAUAAUUUCCCACGGUGCAGUGGUGAGGUUCACAGAACGUGGUGACCAAGUUCUGCUCCUUGAAGAUGAGCUUCAAGGAACACAGAGAUAAGAAGAAGCCAGCAGCUGUCCUGCUGCUGUCACCACUGCCCUGUUGAUCAGCCAGCCCCAGGCCCAUUCCCCAUGGGACUAAAAUUUUCUACCCUCUGGACCAGUGCCCCUCCCCUACUUAAACUUCCCCACAUCAGCCUUGUGAACCCUCCUCUCAGUGCCAAUGGCCUUCUCACCCUUGGCCCAUCUGC